AGCUCUCUGAAUCCGUCCAGAGAUUUCGUCAGACACCAACCCAUUAGGGCUGAUCAGACUUUUAAAAUAAGUUAAGUU
RNAcentral lists this microRNA precursor (78 nucleotides) under Schistosoma margrebowiei. RNAcentral's name for it is "mir-3492 microRNA precursor family". It matches the Rfam family "mir-3492 microRNA precursor family". Lineage: Eukaryota; Metazoa; Platyhelminthes; Trematoda; Strigeidida; Schistosomatidae. The record is from Rfam by way of RNAcentral.